AUUGAACGCUGGCGGCAGGCCUAACACAUGCAAGUCGAACGGUAACAGGAAGCAGCUUGCUGCUUUGCUGACGAGUGGCGGACGGGUGAGUAAUGUCUGGGAAACUGCCCGAUGGAGGGGGAUAACUACUGGAAACGGUAGCUAAUACCGCAUAACGUCGCAAGACCAAAGAGGGGGACCUUAGGGCCUCUUGCCAUCGUAUGUGCCCAGAUGGGAUUAGCUAGUAGGUGGGGUAACGGCUCACCUAGGCGACGAUCCCUAGCUGGUCUGAGAGGAUGACCAGCCACACUGGAACUGAGACACGGUCCAGACUCCUACGGGAGGCAGCAGUGGGGAAUAUUGCACAAUGGGCGCAAGCCUGAUGCAGCCAUGCCGCGUGUAUGAAGAAGGCCUUCGGGUUGUAAAGUACUUUCAGCGGGGAGGAAGGGAGUAAAGUUAAUACCUUUGCUCAUUGACGUUACCCGCAGAAGAAGCACCGGCUAACUCCGUG
This 490-nucleotide ribosomal RNA is filed under the name uncultured bacterium. Its description in RNAcentral is "partial 16S ribosomal RNA". It matches the Rfam family "Bacterial small subunit ribosomal RNA", at positions 30 to 507 of the family's 1533-position model. The record is from RNAcentral.